RNAcentral lists this ribosomal RNA (671 nucleotides) under uncultured beta proteobacterium. RNAcentral's name for it is "bacterial SSU rRNA". It matches the Rfam family "Bacterial small subunit ribosomal RNA", at positions 77 to 742 of the family's 1533-position model. The record is from RNAcentral. Lineage: Bacteria; Pseudomonadati; Pseudomonadota; Betaproteobacteria.
AGCUUGCUCCCUGGCGGCGAGUGGCGCACGGGUGAGUAAUACAUCGGAACGUGUCUUCUAGUGGGGGAUAACUGCCCGAAAGGGCAGCUAAUACCGCAUGAGACCUGAGGGUGAAAGCGGGGGAUCGCAAGACCUCGCGCUGGAAGAGCGGCCGAUGUCCGAUUAGCUAGUUGGUGAGGUAAAGGCUCACCAAGGCGACGAUCGGUAGCUGGUCUGAGAGGACGACCAGCCACACUGGGACUGAGACACGGCCCAGACUCCUACGGGAGGCAGCAGUGGGGAAUUUUGGACAAUGGGGGCAACCCUGAUCCAGCCAUGCCGCGUGCAGGAUGAAGGUCUUCGGAUUGUAAACUGCUUUUGUCAGGGACGAAAAGGGAUGCGAUAACACCGUAUUCCGCUGACGGUACCUGAAGAAUAAGCACCGGCUAACUACGUGCCAGCAGCCGCGGUAAUACGUAGGGUGCAAGCGUUAAUCGGAAUUACUGGGCGUAAAGCGUGCGCAGGCGGUUCUGUAAGAUAGAUGUGAAAUCCCCGGGCUCAACCUGGGAAUUGCAUAUAUGACUGCAGGACUUGAGUUUGUCAGAGGAGGGUGGAAUUCCACGUGUAGCAGUGAAAUGCGUAGAUAUGUGGAAGAACACCGAUGGCGAAGGCAGCCCUCUGGGACAUGACUG